AGAGUUUGAUCAUGGCUCAGAUUGAACGCUGGCGGCAGGCCUAACACAUGCAAGUCGAGCGGAUGACGGGAGCUUGCUCCUUGAUUCAGCGGCGGACGGGUGAGUAAUGCCUAGGAAUCUGCCUGGUAGUGGGGGACAACGUUUCGAAAGGAACGCUAAUACCGCAUACGUCCUACGGGAGAAAGCAGGGGACCUUCGGGCCUUGCGCUAUCAGAUGAGCCUAGGUCGGAUUAGCUAGUUGGUGGGCUAAUGGCUCACCAAGGCGACGAUCCGUAACUGGUCUGAGAGGAUGAUCAGUCACACUGGAACUGAGACACGGUCCAGACUCCUACGGGAGGCAGCAGUGGGGAAUAUUGGACAAUGGGCGAAAGCCUGAUCCAGCCAUGCCGCGUGUGUGAAGAAGGUCUUCGGAUUGUAAAGCACUUUAAGUUGGGAGGAAGGGCAGUAAGCUAAUACCUUGCUGUUUUGACGUUACCGACAGAAUAAGCACCGGCUAACUCUGUGCCAGCAGCCGCGGUAAUACAGAGGGUGCAAGCGUUAAUCGGAAUUACUGGGCGUAAAGCGCGCGUAGGUGGUUCGUUAAGUUGGAUGUGAAAGCCCCGGGCUCAACCUGGGAACUGCAUCCAAAACUGGCGAGCUAGAGUACGGUAGAGGGUGGUGGAAUUUCCUGUGUAGCGGUGAAAUGCGUAGAUAUAGGAAGGAACACCAGUGGCGAAGGCGACCACCUGGACUGAUACUGACACUGAGGUGCGAAAGCGUGGGGAGUAAACAGGAUUAGAUACCCUGGUAGUCCACGCCGUAAACGAUGUCAACUAGCCGUUGGAAUCCUUGAGAUUUUAGUGGCGCAGCUAACGCAUUAAGUUGACCGCCUGGGGAGUACGGGCCG
RNAcentral lists this ribosomal RNA (886 nucleotides) under uncultured Gammaproteobacteria bacterium. RNAcentral's name for it is "bacterial SSU rRNA". It matches the Rfam family "Bacterial small subunit ribosomal RNA", at positions 8 to 889 of the family's 1533-position model. The record is from RNAcentral. Lineage: Bacteria; Pseudomonadati; Pseudomonadota; Gammaproteobacteria.